GCUGUCAUAAAUAUCAGUCAUUCAGAAAAAUAUAAAGGAUAUAAAAUAAAAGAUAUUUAAUAAAAUGUCUGUCUUCAGCCCCAGGACCGAGGCGUUGAGGUGGCGUGACUGGCGUGAAUUCGGCGUGCCCUGUCUGCAAUCCUGCCUUUCAGUAAGGGGCAGUAAGGACAAGAUCCACCCACCACCCAGUGCAUGCUACAUAUGUGUGUGUAAUAAAUUGAGAGGGAAAGUGUGUGUGAUAAAUGAAAUUUAAUAAAGUAAGUAAAAUUUUGAA
This is a long non-coding RNA of Alosa alosa (allis shad), 274 nucleotides long. RefSeq lists it as uncharacterized. The record is from RefSeq and is a predicted model, not a curated record. NCBI's taxonomy places the organism in Eukaryota, Metazoa, Chordata, Actinopteri, Clupeiformes, Clupeidae. The transcript is spliced from 2 exons.